RNAcentral lists this small RNA (134 nucleotides) under Microcoleus sp. Its description in RNAcentral is "Guanidine-I sequence". It matches the Rfam family "Guanidine-I riboswitch aptamer". From Rfam's summary of the family: This family represents a conserved RNA structure found upstream of the ykkC and yxkD genes in Bacillus subtilis and related genes in other bacteria. The function of this family is unclear although it has been suggested that it may function to switch on efflux pumps and detoxification systems in response to harmful environmental molecules. Nelson showed that this riboswitch senses and responds to guanidine and it was renamed Guanidine-I riboswitch. The record is from RNAcentral. Lineage: Bacteria; Bacillati; Cyanobacteriota; Cyanophyceae; Oscillatoriales; Microcoleaceae. RNAcentral also lists the same sequence under 1 other name.
AUUAACAGCUUCUAGGGUUCCGGUUUGAAUUAUUCAAAUGCUGGUCCGAGAGAAGCAAGCUGGCUCAUCUAAGCUCUCUCCUUUCUAAAGUAUUAGAUGAAUCGGUUACACGGCGGGAGAAAAGCCCGGGAGAA